CCUACGGGUGGCAGCAGUGGGGAAUGUUGCGCAAUGAUCGUAAGAGUGACGCAGCGACGCCGCGUGAAUGACGAAGGCCUUCGGGUCGUAAAGUUCUUGCGACAGGGAAGAAAAUGCCGAUAAGUAACUGUGUAUGUAUUGACGGUACCUGUAGAAGCAGCCCCGGCUAACUCCGUGCCAGCAGCCGCGGUAAUACGGAGGGGGCGAGCGUUGUUCGGAGUGACGGGGCGUAAAGAGCACGUAGGCGGUGUUGUAAGUCAUUAGUCAAAGACUCGAGCUCAACUUUAGUAAGGCUAGUGAUACUCUCAUACUAGAGUAUCAGAGAGUCUUGCUGCAUUCCUGGUGUAGCGG
RNAcentral lists this ribosomal RNA (351 nucleotides) under uncultured bacterium. RNAcentral describes it as "partial 16S ribosomal RNA". It matches the Rfam family "Bacterial small subunit ribosomal RNA", at positions 338 to 681 of the family's 1533-position model. The record is from RNAcentral.